RNAcentral lists this long non-coding RNA (1013 nucleotides) under Equus asinus (donkey). RNAcentral's name for it is "lncRNA (ENSEASG00005034129.1)". Lineage: Eukaryota; Metazoa; Chordata; Mammalia; Perissodactyla; Equidae. The record is from RNAcentral.
ACUCUCCUCCUACUGACUACGUUUACUACGCCAGCCUUAUAGAUGAUUCAGAGUCUGCAGAACGCUGUCUUUCUACCUAGCCGAUUUCCCCCUAUGGAGGUCGGAGACGCCAGUUUCUCCUGUUCCACAUCGAGAUUUUCCUGACAAGCACCCUGGGGGACCCUAGAGGGCAGCAAUCCUGUCCUAUUCUUCUGUGUGUUCCUGUGCCCAGCCCAAGGCCCCCAGAUGGAAGCUGCACGGAGUGUUUACUGAUUGAAGGAACGAAUGGAGAAGGGGCUCAUCUCUUGCUAAUCUUGAAGACAGUGCACGUGCACUCACAUAAAAUAACUACUCCCUUCAGCUAUAUAGACGCAUUUGACGCCAUGUCAGUGGACAGCCCUACCAAAGCCAGAAGCAAAAAUUCCUCUGUGGAAAAGAUAUGCUGGGCCCUAAUUAGUGGCCCCGUAACCUGGACAAUAUAUCAAGGAAGAGGAGGGAGAGAAAAGAAAGACAGAUAGACAAGCACUUUGGAGUUCCUGAGGAGGUGAGCAGUAGUAAACUGUGGAUGGGAUGCUGGACCAGGCUGGAGGUCAAGAAAAGGUAUUUCAGCAGAGGAAGUUUCAGAUACUAUACUUUAUACUAUAGUUAUAUGAAGAGGCGACCAAAAGAUAUGUAGCCAAAAGUCAAGGAAAAAAGGCCUCCAAUUGCACAAGCUUAAGGCCCCACAAAACCUGGAUGUGCUGCUGCACAGACUCACAUCCUACAAGAGAGCCCUCUGGAGCUCUGGUCCCUCCUGCUCUCUCCAGCCACCUCGGCCUCCCACAGUGAGACCUUGCAUGCCCCACCGGAGCUCACUGCAGCUGGCACUGCUCCUGAUCUGAGCCACACCCAGCCCCAGUCCCAGGCACAUUGGGCAACAGCAGGCAUUUCCCAGAAGGAAUGAGCCUGGCCCCAGGAGCUCCCACCCUCCCACACACUCUGUGCUCAGCUUUGCUGCUCUCACACCUUCUCUGGCUCCUCGACACCUUCAAGAC